CCCGCACAAGCGGUGGAGCAUGUGGUUUAAUCGAAGCAACGCGAAGAACCUUACCAGGUCUUGACAUCCCGAUGCUAUUCUAGAGAUAGAAAGUUACUUCGGUACAUCGGUGACAGGUGGUGCAUGGUUGUCGUCAGCUCGUGUCGUGAGAUGUUGGGUUAAGUCCCGCAACGAGCGCAACCCCUAUUGUUAGUUGCCAUCAUUCAGUUGGGCACUCUAGCGAGACUGCCGGUAAUAAACCGGAGGAAGGUGGGGAUGACGUCAAAUCAUCAUGCCCCCUUAUGACCUGGGCUACACACGUGCUACAAUGGUUGGUACAACGAGUUGCGAGUCGGUGACGGCGAGCUAAUCUCUUAAAGCCAAUCUCAGUUCGGAUUGUAGGCUGCAACUCGCCUACAUGAAGUCGGAAUCGCUAGUAAUCGCGGAUCAGCACGCCCGCGGUCCGAAUACGUUCCGGCCUU
This 461-nucleotide ribosomal RNA is filed under the name uncultured Streptococcus sp. RNAcentral describes it as "bacterial SSU rRNA". It matches the Rfam family "Bacterial small subunit ribosomal RNA", at positions 921 to 1377 of the family's 1533-position model. The record is from RNAcentral. Lineage: Bacteria; Bacillati; Bacillota; Bacilli; Lactobacillales; Streptococcaceae.